AGAGUUUGAUCCUGGCUCAGAACGAACGCUGGCGGCGUGGAUAAGACAUGCAAGUCGAGCGAGAUUUUUUCCUGUAGCAAUACAGGGAAAAGUCUAGCGGCAAACGGGUGCUUAACACGUGGGCAACCUGCCGAGAAGUGGGGGAUAGCUCGCCGAAAGGCGAAUUAAUACCGCAUGUGAUUAGAGAGGACAUCCUUUCGAAAUCAAAGUCGGGGCAACCUGACGCUUUUUGUGGGGCCCGCGGCCUAUCAGCUAGUUGGUGAGGUAACGGCUCACCAAGGCUUUGACGGGUAGCUGGUCUGAGAGGACGACCAGCCACACUGGGACUGAGACACGGCCCAGACACCUACGGGUGGCAGCAGUCGAGAAUUUUUCUCAAUGGGGGAAACCCUGAAGGAGCGACGCCGCGUGGAGGAUGAAGGUCUUCGGAUUGUAAACUUCUGUCAUUGGGGAACAAGGUGCAUACGUUAACUGCGUGUGCAUUGAUAGUACCCGAAGAGGAAGAGACGGCUAACUCUGUGCCAGCAGCCGCGGUAAUACAGAGGUCUCAAGCGUUGUUCGGAUUCAUUGGGCGUAAAGGGUGCGUAGGCGGCGCGGUAAGUCGGGUGUGAAAUCUUGGAGCUUAACUCCGAAACUGCAUUCGAUACUGCCGUGCUUGAGGACUGGAGAGGAGACUGGAAUUUACGGUGUAGCGGUGAAAUGCGUAGAUAUCGUAAGGAAGACCAGUGGCGAAGGCGGGUCUCUGGACAGUUCCUGACGCUGAGGCACGAAGGCCAGGGGAGCAAACGGGAUUAGAUACCCCGGUAGUCC
This 810-nucleotide ribosomal RNA is filed under the name uncultured bacterium. RNAcentral's name for it is "bacterial SSU rRNA". It matches the Rfam family "Bacterial small subunit ribosomal RNA", at positions 8 to 796 of the family's 1533-position model. The record is from RNAcentral.